CAAGGUUCCGUAGGUGAACUGCGGAGGAUCAUUAGCGAUUCUGAGGCGGGAGAGCGCAAGGGGGUUCUAGCAUUUCGGAUGUSUGUCGCUGGCUUUCGGGGCAUGUGCACGUCUCGGGAGUGUCUGCCUCGGACCUCCGACCCUCUCCUAUACCUCCCAAACACACCUGUGUGCACCUGUUGUAGGCCUUGUCUAUUAGGCAGACCUAUGUAUUACUUUCAUAAACAUCGCAUGUAUAAAAGAAUGUUUGAACACGAUAUAUAUGAAUAAAUAUAACUUUCAGCAAUGGAUCUCUUGGCUCUCGCAUCGAUGAAGAACGCAGCGAAUUGCGAUAAGUAAUGUGAAUUGCAGAUUUUCCGUGAAUCAUCGAAUCUUUGAACGCACCUUGCGCUCCUUGGUAUUCCGAGGAGCAUGCCUGUUUGAGUGUCAUCGAAAUCUCAAAAUCUCCUAGCUUUGCCUUGUCGGAGCUUGGUUUUUGGACUUUGGGAGUUUGCGGGCGACCCCUUUGCUUUGGGAUGUCGGCUCUCCUUAAAUGUAUUAGCAGUGGGUGCAAGUCCUUUGCAUGGCACGGCCUGUUCGACGUCGUAGUGAUCGUCGCGGGCUGGAAGUGCUUGGAUUGACGUGUCUCAUGCUUCCAACUUUUACAUGCGCCAAGUUUAGUCUAGGCUACUCUAGCGUGUGUCUUGUUCUCUAAGGCUUGUCCUCAAAUCAGGU
This 714-nucleotide ribosomal RNA is filed under the name Astraeus asiaticus. RNAcentral describes it as "eukaryotic LSU rRNA". The stretch from base 275 to 429 matches the Rfam family "5.8S ribosomal RNA". Lineage: Eukaryota; Fungi; Basidiomycota; Agaricomycetes; Boletales; Astraeaceae. The record is from RNAcentral.